This 684-nucleotide ribosomal RNA is filed under the name uncultured bacterium. RNAcentral's name for it is "bacterial SSU rRNA". It matches the Rfam family "Bacterial small subunit ribosomal RNA", at positions 143 to 845 of the family's 1533-position model. The record is from RNAcentral.
AUAACGGCUGGAAACGGUCGCUAAUACCGCAUAAUGUACGGAUGGAACAUCCUGUCGGUACCAAAGAUUUAUCGCUCGAAGAUGGGCUCGCGUCCGAUUAGGUAGUUGGUGAGGUAACGGCCCACCAAGCCGACGAUCGGUAGCCGGACUGAGAGGUUGAACGGCCACAUUGGGACUGAGACACGGCCCAGACUCCUACGGGAGGCAGCAGUGGGGGAUAUUGCACAAUGGGGGAAACCCUGAUGCAGCGACGCCGCGUGUGGGAAGACGGUCUUCUGGAUUGUAAACCACUGUCCCCAGGGACGAAAAUGACGGUACCUGGGGAGGAAGCUCCGGCUAACUACGUGCCAGCAGCCGCGGUAAUACGUAGGGAGCAAGCGUUGUCCGGAAUUACUGGGUGUAAAGGGAGCGUAGGCGGGGAUGCAAGUUGGGUGUCAAAACUACCGGCUCAACCGAUAGUCGCACUCAAAACUGCAGCUCUUGAGUGAAGUAGAGGCAGGCGGAAUUCCUAGUGUAGCGGUGAAAUGCGUAGAUAUUAGGAGGAACACCAGUGGCGAAGGCGGCCUGCUGGGCUUUUACUGACGCUGAGGCUCGAAAGUGUGGGGAGCAAACAGGAUUAGAUACCCUGGUAGUCCACACCGUAAACGAUGAUUACUAGGUGUGGGGGGUCUGACCCCCUCCGUG